This 374-nucleotide ribosomal RNA is filed under the name uncultured bacterium. Its description in RNAcentral is "bacterial SSU rRNA". It matches the Rfam family "Bacterial small subunit ribosomal RNA", at positions 29 to 404 of the family's 1533-position model. The record is from RNAcentral.
AUUAAACGCUGGCGGCAUGCCUUACACAUGCAAGUCGAACGGCAGCACGGGGGCAACCCUGGUGGCGAGUGGUGGACGGGUGAGUAAUACAUCGGAACGUGCCCUGGAGUGGGGGAUAACGCAGCGAAAGCUACGCUAAUACCGCAUAUUCUGUGAGCAGGAAAGCAGGGGAUCGCAAGACCUUGCGCUUUGGGAGCGGCCGAUGUCGGAUUAGCUAGUUGGUGGGGUAAAGGCCUACCAAGGCGACGAUCCGUAGCGGGUCUGAGAGGAUGAUCCGCCACACUGGGACUGAGACACGGCCCAGACUCCUACGGGAGGCAGCAGUGGGGAAUUUUGGACAAUGGGCGGAAGCCUGAUCCAGCCAUGCCGCGUGA